GUGAGGAUUUGAGAUGGAAAUGAGUAAAUAUCCCUAACUGGUUGUGUUUUGUGAGAGAGAGAGGGGAAGGAUAUUUUACUUAGAUAGUGUUUUUAAUUUGUUUAAUCAAUAAUUUGUCUAAAAGAUGAUACAAAGGGUAGGAUGUGAAUGCUCAUUAUUUGAUACCCUUAAAAAGAAAAUUUACUCACAGUAACUUUUCUAAUUGACAUCUAUAUAGAGGUUAGCCGAUACAAUCAAGUAAGCCCAAAAGUGAGGUAUUUUAUGUAGAAAAAUCAGAUUCUGUGAUGAUGAGUUAUGAUGCUGCUGUAGUGGGUGAUCGACGAUUGUAUAAUACUAAUAAUUAUGUUAUGAAGAAAAUAUGUUGGUAGAUUUAUUUUAAAUAGUGGACAUAUGGCUUGUAUAAUGAUAUUAUGGAUGGAUCAAUUUAGAUUCCUAAACUCGAAUAUCUGUCUUAUUAUUUAUAUAAGUUGUGUUUUAAUUAUUAAA
Long non-coding RNA from Quercus robur (English oak), 486 nucleotides. RefSeq lists it as uncharacterized. The record is from RefSeq and is a predicted model, not a curated record. The transcript is spliced from 2 exons. NCBI's taxonomy places the organism in Eukaryota, Viridiplantae, Streptophyta, Magnoliopsida, Fagales, Fagaceae.